RNAcentral lists this ribosomal RNA (486 nucleotides) under uncultured bacterium. RNAcentral describes it as "partial 16S ribosomal RNA". It matches the Rfam family "Bacterial small subunit ribosomal RNA", at positions 30 to 507 of the family's 1533-position model. The record is from RNAcentral.
AUUGAACGCUGGCGCCAUGCCUUACACAUGCAAGUCGAACGGCAGCACGGGUGCUUGCACCUGGUGGCGAGUGGCGAACGGGUGAGUAAUACAUCGGAACAUGUCCUGUAGUGGGGGAUAGCCCGGCGAAAGCCGGAUUAAUACCGCAUACGAUCUACGGAUGAAAGCGGGGGACCUUCGGGCCUCGCGCUAUAGGGUUGGCCGAUAGCUGAUUAGCUAGUUGGUGGGGUAAAGGCCUACCAAGGCGACGAUCAGUAGCUGGUCUGAGAGGACGACCAGCCACACUGGGACUGAGACACGGCCCAGACUCCUACGGGAGGCAGCAGUGGGGAAUUUUGGACAAUGGGCGAAAGCCUGAUCCAGCAAUGCCGCGUGUGUGAAGAAGGCCUUCGGGUUGUAAAGCACUUUUGUCCGGAAAGAAAUCCUUGGCUCUAAUACAGUCGGGGGAUGACGGUACCGGAAGAAUAAGCACCGGCUAACUACGUG